GAAGUAAAGACAACUUCUUCCUGAUUGCCCACUGGGCCAGGUGUGAAUGUUCUGCAAGACCUAACCUACCCAACCAGUUUGAAUCCAAUGGAAAGCCUGUUGAUGGCCCAUCAGCAGACAAUUAAGUGGGCUGUUUGCUCCGGGCAUAUACUCAAAGUUCUUUGGCGAGAUAAGAGUGGGUGAGGUUUGCUCUGGCGGCUCAUUCUGUCCACAGCGCAUUCUUCCCCACCUUUACUCUCAUUGUUCUUGCCAGCAGAGCCUUCGCUCACUUCAGGUGGUACCUUCAGAAAUUUGAAGACUACCCCAAGUGUAGGAAGACGUUGAUAUCAUUCAUAUUACGAAGCACUACUACGAUCCAAC
Non-coding RNA from Salvelinus sp. IW2-2015, 360 nucleotides. NCBI's taxonomy places the organism in Eukaryota, Metazoa, Chordata, Actinopteri, Salmoniformes, Salmonidae. The record is from RefSeq and is a predicted model, not a curated record.